AUUGAACGCUGGCGGCAGGCCUAACACAUGCAAGUCGAGCGGAUGAAGGGAGCUUGCUCCUGGAUUCAGCGGCGGACGGGUGAGUAAUGCCUAGGAAUCUGCCUGGUAGUGGGGGAUAACGUCCGGAAACGGGCGCUAAUACCGCAUACGUCCUGAGGGAGAAAGUGGGGGAUCUUCGGACCUCACGCUAUCAGAUGAGCCUAGGUCGGAUUAGCUAGUUGGUGGGGUAAAGGCCUACCAAGGCGACGAUCCGUAACUGGUCUGAGAGGAUGAUCAGUCACACUGGAACUGAGACACGGUCCAGACUCCUACGGGAGGCAGCAGUGGGGAAUAUUGGACAAUGGGCGAAAGCCUGAUCCAGCCAUGCCGCGUGUGUGAAGAAGGUCUUCGGAUUGUAAAGCACUUUAAGUUGGGAGGAAGGGCAGUAAGUUAAUACCUUGCUGUUUUGACGUUACCAGCAGAAUAAGCACCGGCUAACUUCGUA
Molecule: ribosomal RNA, 484 nt
Filed under: uncultured bacterium
Lineage: Bacteria
Description: partial 16S ribosomal RNA
Rfam family: Bacterial small subunit ribosomal RNA
Source: RNAcentral